UUUAUUUUUUUUUUCUCCCUCUGCCGCUGUAUCCCCUUCCCCCCCCAUCCCCCUCUCCAUUUCCUCAGCCUGCACUUGCGCAGCCGUGGCCUCAGAUGCGGAGCUUUUUCUGAGGUUGGACAGCAGGCCAGGCCCGACUGCUUCCCAGGAAUCGGAGGGAAGGGAGCUGCUCAACUGACCGGAGGAGAGUGGACGCAUUAGGCAGCCAUAAGCUCUGUCACCAUUCCCAAUAAAUCCCAGCAGCCCGUUUACA
Molecule: long non-coding RNA, 253 nt
Filed under: Astyanax mexicanus (Mexican tetra)
Lineage: Eukaryota; Metazoa; Chordata; Actinopteri; Characiformes; Acestrorhamphidae
Description: lncRNA (ENSAMXG00005017003.1)
Source: RNAcentral